AUUCCCUUAGUAACGGCGAGCGAAGUGGGAACAAGCCCAGGUCUGAAAUCUCCCGGUCGGCACUUGUAGUGGCCGGGCGAAUUGUGGUCUGGAGAGGCAGACUGUCCCGAUCCACUGCUUUUGAGCCCGAAGUUGACUUGGAACGGCACGCCAGAGAGGGUGAGAGCCCCGUAGGGCAUGGAAAUCGAGAGCGGCGGGACGAGGGUCUGUACUCGUGGAGUCGGGUUGUUUGGGAUUGCAGCCCCAAGUGGGUGGUAGACUCCAUCCAAGGCUAAAUACGGACGCGAGACCGAUAGCUGACAAGUACCGUGAGGGAAAGGUGAAAAGCACUUUGAAGAGAGAGUUCAACAGACCGUGAAACCGUUGGGAGGGAAGCUCAGGGUGUCGAGGUUGUCGUGCUCUGCUGCGAGUUCAAUCGGUGGAGGCUGGAAACGGCCACUGCCGAUGCACUCUCCUGUGGAGUUGGACCGUCAGUUGGGAAGAGACGGAGUCCUGCGUUGUCGACGGUCGGGAGGUAUGCCCCGGGUUACUCUCGGGUUACUCUCGGGUGCCCGGGGUGACGUAUAGCCGUUCCGUCGUGGACUCUGUCGUCUUCCAGGUGCGAUUUGGACGUCUGUUCGUCCGGAAUGGGAAGGUACAGUCUCCCGCAUUCGUGUGGGAGUUCGGGCUAGCCUGGCGGUUGCUCCGCGUUGCUGUGUCGUGUUCCGCUCUCUCCCCGCUUUGCCUCGGCGGGUGGGGUAGAGUGCGGCACGGCCGGCAUUCGUCGGUGUCCCGUCCGGGCUGUGAUCCAAGCCGACUGUGCCGAGGUGACUGG
RNAcentral lists this ribosomal RNA (814 nucleotides) under Calyx sp. JAD-2021. RNAcentral's name for it is "partial large subunit ribosomal RNA". It matches the Rfam family "Eukaryotic large subunit ribosomal RNA", at positions 74 to 610 of the family's 3401-position model. Lineage: Eukaryota; Metazoa; Porifera; Demospongiae; Haplosclerida; Phloeodictyidae. The record is from RNAcentral.